Vicugna pacos (alpaca) is the source of this 1929-nucleotide non-coding RNA. The record is from RefSeq and is a predicted model, not a curated record. NCBI's taxonomy places the organism in Eukaryota, Metazoa, Chordata, Mammalia, Artiodactyla, Camelidae.
GGGGCCGGGGCCGGCGGGACUGAGAAGGGCCAUGGCCGAGCCGGCUCCGUUGCUUUCUUCACUGAAGUCUUGAACCUCUCAAAGUCAUCCAUGAAGGCGGGAAUCAGCUUCUUCCAAACUCCUGUUAAUGUUGAUAUUUCGACCUCUUCCCGUGAAUCUUGGGUGUUCUUCAUGGCAUCCAGAAGGAUAAAUCCUUCCAGAAGGCUUUCAAUUGACUUUGCCCAGAUCCAUCCGAGGAAUCACCAUCCGUGACAGCUAUAGCCUUAUGAAAUGUUAUUUCUUAAAUUAUAAGACUUAAAACGACUCCUUGAUCCAUGGGCUGCAGAAUGGAUGUUGUGUUAACAGAUAGGAAAACAACAUUAACCUUGUACAUCACCAUCAGAGGUCUCGGGUAACCAAGUGAAUUGUCAGUGAUAAAUAAUAUUUUGAGAGGAAUCUUUUUUCCUGAGCAGUAGAUCUCAACAGUGAGCUUAAAAUAGUAAACCAUGUUGUAAACAGAUGUGCUAUUAUCUAGGCUAUGUUGUUCCCUUUCUGGAGCACAGGCAGAGUCGAUCUAGCAUGAUUGUUAGGGGCUUUAGGAUUUUCGGGAUGGUAAAUGAGUGUUGGCUUCGAUUUAAAGGCACCAGCUGCAUUUAGCUCCCAAGAGAGUCAGCCUGUCCUUUGAUGCUUUGAAGCCAAGCAUUGACUUUUCCUCUCUAGCUAUGAAAGUCCUAGAUGGUAUCUUCCUCCAAUAUUAGGCCGUUUUACCUACAUUGAAAAAGCCAUUAUUUAGCGUAGCCACCCUCAUUUUGCAGCUUCUACAUCCGCACUUGCUACUUUACCUUGUUCUUUUAUGUUUAGGAGACAGCUUCUUUCCUUCAACCUCAUGAACCGCCCUCUGCUAGUUUCACAGUUUUCUUCUGCAGCUUCCUUACCUCUCUCAGCCUUCAUUGAAUUGAAGAGAGUUAGGGCCUUGCUCUGGAUGAAGCUUUGGCUUAAAGGAAUAUUUGUGGCUGGUUUAGUCUUCUAUCCAGAACACUAAAACUUUCUUUGUAUCAGCAGUAAGGCUGUUUUUCUUUUUUAUCAUUAGUGUGUUCACUGACGUAGCACUUUAAUUUCCUUCAAGAACUUUUCCUUUGCAAUCACAACUUGGCUAACUGGUGCAAGAGGGCUAGCUUUCAGCCUGUCUCAGCUUUCACCACGCCUUCCUCACUAAGCCUAAUUAUUUCUAGCUUUUGAUUUAAAGGGAGGGAUGUAUGACUGUUCCUCUCACUUGAACACUUAGAGGCCAUUUUAAUGUUCACUUGAAUGCUUAAUAAUGUAGGGUUAUUAAGUUGCCUAAUUUCAAUAUUGCUCUGUCUCAGGGAAUAGGGAGGCCCAAAGAGAGGGAGAGUGAGGGGGUAACGGCCAGUCACUGGAGCAGUCAGAACACACACAUUUAUCACUUAAGUUGGCCAUCUUUUAUAGGCGUGGUUCAUGGUGCCCCAAAACAAUUACAAUAGUAACAUUAAAGAUCGCUGAUCACAGAUCACUGUAACAAAUAUAAUAGUAAUGGAAAGGUUUGAAAUGUUGUGAGAAUUACUAAAAUGUGACAGAGACAUGAAAUGAACAAGUGCUACUGGAAAAAUGACACCAACAGACUUGUUCCACACAGACCUUCAAUUUGUAAACAAUGCAAUAUCUGAAAAGCAAAAUAAAAUUAGCUAUGCCUGUAAACGGGAGAUAAAUCAUGCCUAUGUUUGGGAAGACUAAACAUAGUAAAGGUGUUACUUUUCCUCCAAGUCAAUGUAUAAAUCUAUUGUGGCUUCAUCAAAAUGGCAGUAAGAUUUUUGUGAAUGAGAUGAACAAUUUCUAAAUUUCAUUUGGGAAAAUAAAGGUCAAAAAUACAAUUCUGAAAAGGAAUAACAGGGGAAAUUGCCCUAGCAGAUAAUAAAAUUUACUAUAAAUCUC